AGUGAGAGGUGUCCCUGCCCAUGGCAAAGGGGUUGGAACUAGAUGUUCCAUGAUAAAAGUUCAUGAUAAUGAUGCAAGUCUGAGGCUAAACUAGGCCUCAGUCAAUCAAUAGGUCAGGGUUAAGAUGAAGUCCAGUGAUUGACAGGCUUGUUCAUAGUGAUAAGACAGGGCUAAGGUCAAGCCAGGAAGUCAGUCCACAGGUUGAGGUCAAGAGGCUUCAUUUCCUGCUCAUUGGAAAGGACCACUCUUGAGCUUGGAGAAGGUGAUAUCUGAAUAUUGAACCAGUUUUACUGGACCACUCCUCAGUAUCCUCUCAGGAUCCUGGAGUCCUCCAUCUCAUGAUCAUUACAGACUUUGAUAUUCAAAUCCCCUUCCUUGUUGAUUAGUAUGAGGCUCAGUAGAGCACAUCUCCUUAUUGGUUCCUCUAUCAUUUGGGCAGAGCUCCAUGCACUCCAGCUGCUCUCUCACCCAGGCAACUCCUGGUCUUCCUGUCCUGUCCUUCCUAAAGAGCCUGUACCCUUCCAUUACAACAGUCCAGUCAUAUGAGCUAUCCCACCAGCUCUCUGUGAACCUUGUGUAAUUGUAGACUUACAACUGCACACACACCUCUAAUUCCUUGUGUUUACUUUCUAUACAGCAUGCAUUAGUGUGCAGGCACUUCAGAAAGGCACAUUGGUGUGUUGAUUUGCCAGAACAGGUGUGUGUUUUUUGUCUGUUUGUUUGUUUGCAUGUUUGUUUUCUCAUAAUGGUGCCUUGUAGCCACUUCCUUGCUUAUAUGCAGAUACUUGAGGUGACCCCACCUAAGCCUUGAUUUGUUGAUUUUGUAUUCCUUUAUAUUCACAUCACCCUGUGCCCUUUGAUCAUCAGCCCUGUCCACCGUUUCCUCAUAGGGCUGCUGGUGACUCUCUCCCUCCACUAUCAUUCCUAGUUUAAAGCAUUUAUUACCAGGUCAGUCAUCCUACUGGUAAAGAUACCUUUGUUCCACUUAGUCAGGUGGAUUCCAUCUUUCCUAAGGAGACACUGAUUCCCUGGCAGGGUCCAGUGGUCACAGAAAUCAAAAUGUUGUUGCUGACACCAGCUCCCCAAACAACUGUUGACACACAGUGUCAGUGCCUUCUUCCUUACAUUAUUUUUCCCCUCAAGAGCAGGUUUGAGGAGAACAAUGCCUGCCCCCCCAUGCCCUUGACUAGUGCCCCUUACACUCUGUAGUCACUUUUAGUACUGUCCACGUUGCCCUGACAAUAUCACUGGUGCCCACAUGGAAGAAUAGCAGGGUGUAAUAGCCACAGGGUUGGACAAAUUAUCGCAACAGCGUUCCAGAUCCAGGCUCCAAGCAAUCAGUAAACUUCUCUAGGUGACAGGCCAGAUCAGGAGAUUGGUAUCUGUCCAUUGCAGAAAGGAGUUGCCCACUGCUAUUACUUGCCACUUCUUCCUGGUGGUUCAGAGUGAGCUGGUCCAGCUGCUUUACUUGAAAGCACAACCAGCUCCUCCUCAGUUUUGAGGGCAGUGAACCUAUUUUGCAGCUGUAAGCCUUUAGGUGGAGCAAGAGCCUUCCUCUUGGUGCCAGAGGUCACCAGCUUUCUUUGUCUUCUCCAGAGGUUUCAGUUACCAUUCUAUUAGGGACAGAUUCUGCCUACAUCCCCACUGAGAUCCAGAGCUCUUCAAGCUGUUGCAUCUCUGAGAAUAUAAUGUCUCUCUCUCUUGUCCUCUUUCAUCUUCCUUCAAUAGAAUGUUCUAAUAAAAGAAAAAUAGGUCUGAAAGAUCCACAAAGAUCAGAGAACUGUUUCUGAAAGCCUUGCAAUAUAGAAAAGAAUGUGUAAGUGUCCGAGAGGAUACAGAGUAGCCUAAGAGAGGACAAGGUAGUAGAAAGAUUUAGACAUUUGUAAAACACCUACAAAUGAAAACUGAUGAAACACUAGGACAGAUGAAGAUCACAGAAUAGUCCUCCAAAUGUCUACUGCAAAGUAGAAGAUGGUGUGAAAGAUCCUCGGACAAAACAGUGGAACCAAGCAGAAGCCAACAAAGGAACAGAGAGUGUGAAAGAAAUUCAGAGAAAAUAAAGUAGCCUAAAGGAAGGGAAGAAAGGCUGCCAGUGCUGGAGGGAAUAAAUUGUUGCAGUGUCAGAGAGGCCAUGAAAGAAAAUAACAAGCCAAAGGACACCUCUCCUCACCUCCCAUCCCCAAGAAUAAAGAGCCUCAGAGAUAGUAAAGUAUUAGAGAGAUUAAAGGACCCUCAAAGCACCCUGCAGUGCCAAAGGUGACCUCAGAGAAGACACACACACAAAAAUGUAAAAAGGCAGAAAGUUUGAUAGUGCCCCAAAAGAGUAGCAUCAAAGAAGAAUAAAAUGAGUCAAGUUCUGUAAAAGUCUCAGAGAGUACAGAGUAGCCUCAAAGAAGCAGAAAAAAAAUAGUUGAACACUUGAAAGAACUAUGGGGAAUAUACCACAGACCUCAUAUAUAACAAGAAAGCAGCAGAGAUUAUGAAAGUGCACUUGGGGAACACAUAGUACCCCUGCAGCUGCUAAGAAAGAACAGAGGCUAAAAGAGUGACAGAGAAUAAUAGCUUUGGAGUAGAGAAGAAAGAAGCUGGCUUUCUUCCUGGAGAAGAGUAGUUGCUGAGAUUCCAAGAACCUUGAAAACAGCCUGAAGCAGACCCAGAAAACCCAGAUUAACCUCAGGGAAUUGAAAGGAAAAAAAAAAAAAAAAAAAAAAAAAACUGCAGUAAGCUUGAAAGUGCUCCAGUCAUCUUACAGAGAGGAAGGAAGAGACCAAAAGCCUGAAAAGGAGCCAUAGCAAGUUUGAAAAGCCAGAGAAGAAAUGGAAAGGUUGAAAGAGUCCCAGAGAAUACAGAGCCUGAAAGAAUUUCAGUGAAGCCUCGGAAAAAGGUAAGAAAAUAGCAUAAAGCCUGUAAAUGUGAAGAACAACAGAGAGUAGAUUCAGAAAGAUGGAUAAAAGUAGCCAAGGAAGACACAGCAUACAGUGUCCUUGGAGAGG
Oxyura jamaicensis (ruddy duck) is the source of this 2993-nucleotide long non-coding RNA. RefSeq lists it as uncharacterized. NCBI's taxonomy places the organism in Eukaryota, Metazoa, Chordata, Aves, Anseriformes, Anatidae. The record is from RefSeq and is a predicted model, not a curated record. The transcript is spliced from 2 exons.